Non-coding RNA from Fukomys damarensis (Damara mole-rat), 101 nucleotides. NCBI's taxonomy places the organism in Eukaryota, Metazoa, Chordata, Mammalia, Rodentia, Bathyergidae. The record is from Rfam.
AUUCAGAGUUCAUUGGUGUAAUGACCAGGUGGGUCAUGCCAUAGUGUAAAAUGUACCUCCAUCCAGCCUUGAUAUGAUGUUGGCACAUUACCUAUCUGACA